AAUGGCUCAGGAUGAACGCUGGCGGCGUGCUUAACACAUGCAAGUCGAACGAAGAUGCCGGAGUGCUUGCACUUUGGCAGACUGAGUGGCGGACGGGUGAGUAACGCGUGGGUAACCUGCCUUAGUACAGGGGGAUAACAGUUGGAAACGACUGCUAAUACCGCAUAAGCGCACGGUAUCGCAUGAUACAGUGUGAAAAACUCCGGUGGUAUAAGAUGGACCCGCGUCUGAUUAGCUUGUUGGUGAGGUAACGGCCUACCAAGCCGACGAUCUAUAGCUGGUCUGAGAGGACGAUCAGCCACAUUGGAACUGAGACACGGUCCAAACUCCUACGGGAGGCAGCAGUGAGGAAUAUUGGGCAAUGGAGGCAACUCUGACCCAGCCAUGCCGCGUGAGUGAAGAAGGUUUUCGGACUGUAAAGCUCUUUCGGGUGUGACGAUGAUGACGGUAGCACCUAAAGAAGCCCCGGCUAACUUCGUG
This 480-nucleotide ribosomal RNA is filed under the name uncultured bacterium. Its description in RNAcentral is "bacterial SSU rRNA". It matches the Rfam family "Bacterial small subunit ribosomal RNA", at positions 18 to 507 of the family's 1533-position model. The record is from RNAcentral.